UACGUAGGGGCCAAGCGUUGUCCGGAUUUAUUGGGCGUAAAGAGCGUGUAGGCGGCCAGACAGGUCCGUUGUGAAAACUCGAGGCUCAACCUCGAGACGCCGAUGGAAACCGUCUGGCUAGAGUCCGGAAGAGGAGAGUGGAAUUCCUGGUGUAGCGGUGAAAUGCGCAGAUAUCAGGAAGAACACCCGUGGCUAAGGCGGCUCUCUAGUACGGUACUGACGCUGAGACGCGAAAGCGUGGGGAGCGAACAGG
Molecule: ribosomal RNA, 253 nt
Filed under: uncultured bacterium
Lineage: Bacteria
Description: partial 16S ribosomal RNA
Rfam family: Bacterial small subunit ribosomal RNA
Source: RNAcentral